This 496-nucleotide ribosomal RNA is filed under the name uncultured bacterium. Its description in RNAcentral is "partial 16S ribosomal RNA". It matches the Rfam family "Bacterial small subunit ribosomal RNA", at positions 28 to 523 of the family's 1533-position model. The record is from RNAcentral.
GAUGAACGCUAGCGGCAGGCUUAACACAUGCAAGUCGAGGGGUAGAAGUUGCUUGCAACUUUGAGACCGGCGCACGGGUGCGUAACGCGUAUGCAAUCUACCUUGUACAGGGGGAUAGCCCAGAGAAAUUUGGAUUAAUACCCCAUAGUGUAAUUGAAUGGCAUCAUUUGAUUACUAAAGUUCCAACGGUACAAGAUGAGCAUGCGUCCUAUUAGCUAGUUGGUGUGGUAACGGCAUACCAAGGCAACGAUAGGUAGGGGUCCUGAGAGGGAGAUCCCCCACACUGGUACUGAGACACGGACCAGACUCCUACGGGAGGCAGCAGUGAGGAAUAUUGGUCAAUGGGCGCAAGCCUGAACCAGCCAUGCCGCGUGCAGGAAGAAGCAUCUAUGGUGUGUAAACUGCUUUUGUACGGGAAGAAACACUCCUACGUGUAGGAAUUUGACGGUACCGUAAGAAUAAGGAUCGGCUAACUCCGUGCCAGCCGCCGCAGUAA